Long non-coding RNA from Canis lupus familiaris (dog), 528 nucleotides. RefSeq lists it as uncharacterized. NCBI's taxonomy places the organism in Eukaryota, Metazoa, Chordata, Mammalia, Carnivora, Canidae. The record is from RefSeq and is a predicted model, not a curated record. The transcript is spliced from 5 exons.
GACUAAUUUACAUGUAACUGCCCCACCUGCUGGCUCCUGCUACUCCCUGACCUGUUGGUCCAGCCCAGGAUCGAGCACAGAGAUGACUCCUGUUUGCCGGUUGAUGGCGAACAUGUUGGAGUGAGUGCUGCUAGCUGUCUUCUCUGAGCGCAGAAGCUUGCAUCUCAUGGAACCCUCACCCCAAAAAGUCUUGGAACUUGUCCACAAGUGCACAGCUAAUUCUUAAAUGGGGCUUCGUCACCUUCAGCCAUCCUGUUUCUCUGUCCAUGAUAAACACGCCAUAAGGAGGUUCAUCAGCGCCUGUGCCAGUGAUGCUGUAGAAAACCUGGAUUUCCUUGUUCUUGUUAGAUUUGACCUGAAGGCAAUACAGAAGCAGAACAACCCAAGAAGGACCCCAGUCAAGUGAAUAGGGCGGUGGCCUCAGCUAAGGGCUUCUCAGAUGUCUACCAGGAGACAGAGACACGGAAACCAGCCAAUGUCAGGGAAAGAAAGACACCAAUACACACCUUCCUUUACAAAAGCAUAUGG